Long non-coding RNA from Dermacentor albipictus, 498 nucleotides. RefSeq lists it as uncharacterized. Lineage: Eukaryota; Metazoa; Arthropoda; Arachnida; Ixodida; Ixodidae. The record is from RefSeq and is a predicted model, not a curated record.
UCGAGAUGUGGCGAGCACGCGCCCAUGUGUAACCGAAGAAAGUUUCUUUAAGGCACGAGGCGCCUACAUAUACCCGCUGGGACGGCCUAUGCCCGACGCUUCUUCGCCUUCACUUCACUUCCGUGGAAAGGGUAGCAAACCGCCCGCAGAACUCGUCAAGCUCUCUGCCUUUCCGCCUCUCUCCUCGUCGAGAAGGCUACUCCGACGCUCGGCAGCAGCGCAGCUCGACGGAAGAGCUCGCAGAGGCCCAGCGGGCGUCACGUUGCCCGAGCGACGCCGUCCCCCCCGGCGUCACCCGAGUCGAGUGAGCGCAGGGGCCGCCGAGAAACGGCCUUUCUGCAGACCUGUCUCUGCGCUCUUUGUUUCGCGGCUUGCUGCUCCGACAGCGGUGACGAAGCUACCGUGGAGUAUGCGCUGAACAGGCCCUGCGGAUGCUGUUCUGGACGUGGCGAUGGCACAGCGGCAGCUGAACUUUUCAGUUCGGUCGGUGCCGUCGAG